This 65-nucleotide transfer RNA is filed under the name Auchenoplax crinita. RNAcentral describes it as "tRNA-Ser". Lineage: Eukaryota; Metazoa; Annelida; Polychaeta; Terebellida; Ampharetidae. The record is from RNAcentral.
AAUAUUCUGGGAGAUUAAAGCUUUCUAAGCUUGAUAAUUGAGAGGUUCGAUUCCUUUUUAUUUUU